Small nuclear RNA from Aethalodelphis obliquidens (Pacific white-sided dolphin), 107 nucleotides. Lineage: Eukaryota; Metazoa; Chordata; Mammalia; Artiodactyla; Delphinidae. The record is from RefSeq and is a predicted model, not a curated record.
GUGCUCGCUUCGGCAGCACAUAUACUAAAAUGGGAACGAUACAGAGAAGAUUAGCAUGGCCCCUGCACAAGGAUGACACACAAAUUUGUGAAGCGUUCCAUAUUUUU